GACAGAGGGGGCAAGCGUUGCUCGGAAUUACUGGGCGUAAAGCGUGCGCAGGCGGUUCGUUAAGUCAGCUGUGAAAGCCCCGGGCUCAACCUGGGAAUUGCGGUUGAAACUGGCGAACUAGAAUCUGGCAGAGGGGGGUGGAAUUCCACGUGUAGCAGUGAAAUGCGUAGAGAUGUGGAGGAACACCGAUGGCGAAGGCAGCCCCCUGGGCUGAGAUUGACGCUCAGGCACGAAAGCGUGGGGAGCAAACAGG
This 253-nucleotide ribosomal RNA is filed under the name uncultured bacterium. RNAcentral describes it as "partial 16S ribosomal RNA". It matches the Rfam family "Bacterial small subunit ribosomal RNA", at positions 524 to 776 of the family's 1533-position model. The record is from RNAcentral.